CGGACAGUGUCUGGUGGGUAGUUUGACUGGGGCGGUCUCCUCCUAAAGAGUAACGGAGGAGCACGAAGGUUGGCUAAUCCUGGUCGGACAUCAGGAGGUUAGUGCAAUGGCAUAAGCCAGCUUGACUGCGAGCGUGACGGCGCGAGCAGGUGCGAAAGCAGGUCAUAGUGAUCCGGUGGUUCUGAAUGGAAGGGCCAUCGCUCAACGGAUAAAAGGUACUCCGGGGAUAACAGGCUGAUACCGCCCAAGAGUUCAUAUCGACGGCGGUGUUUGGCACCUCGAUGUCGGCUCAUCACAUCCUGGGGCUGAAGUAGGUCCCAAGGGUAUGGCUGUUCGCCAUUUAAAGUGGUACGCGAGCUGGGUUUAGAACGUCGUGAGACAGUUCGGUCCCUAUCUGCCGUGGGCGCUGGAGAAUUGAGGGGGGCUGCUCCUAGUACGAGAGGACCGGAGUGGACGCAUCACUGGUGUUCGGGUUGUCAUGCCAAUGGCACUGCCCGGUAGCUAAAUGCGGAAGAGAUAAGUGCUGAAAGCAUCUAAGCACGAAACUUGCCCCGAGAUGAGUUCUCCCUGACUCCUUGAGAGUCCUGAAGGAACGUUGAAGACGACGACGUUGAUAGGCCGGGUGUGUAAGCGCAGCGAUGCGUUGAGCUAACCGGUACUAAUGAACCGUGAGGCUUAACCUU
This 683-nucleotide ribosomal RNA is filed under the name Escherichia coli. RNAcentral describes it as "partial 23S ribosomal RNA". It matches the Rfam family "Bacterial large subunit ribosomal RNA", at positions 2248 to 2925 of the family's 2925-position model. Lineage: Bacteria; Pseudomonadati; Pseudomonadota; Gammaproteobacteria; Enterobacterales; Enterobacteriaceae. The record is from RNAcentral.